RNAcentral lists this transfer RNA (73 nucleotides) under Zea mays. It matches the Rfam family "tRNA". Rfam says of the family: Transfer RNA (tRNA) molecules are approximately 80 nucleotides in length. Their secondary structure includes four short double-helical elements and three loops (D, anti-codon, and T loops). The record is from Rfam by way of RNAcentral. Lineage: Eukaryota; Viridiplantae; Streptophyta; Magnoliopsida; Poales; Poaceae.
GUCUAUCUAGCCCAGUCGGUAGAGCACAAAUCUCUUAACCUUGUGGUUGUGGGUUCGAGCCCCAUGGUGUGCG